Long non-coding RNA from Xenia sp. Carnegie-2017, 557 nucleotides. RefSeq lists it as uncharacterized. The record is from RefSeq and is a predicted model, not a curated record. NCBI's taxonomy places the organism in Eukaryota, Metazoa, Cnidaria, Anthozoa, Malacalcyonacea, Xeniidae. The transcript has 2 exons.
AGAGCUAGUCAUUUGACAUCCUAUGACAAAUGUAAAGCCUUUCUUUGUCAAGAACCAUCUUCCAAAGAUAAUGGAAUGGUGGAUUGGGUGUUGUGUGAUGUUUGUCAACAAUGGUACCAUUGGGAUUGCGUUGGCAUUACGACGAAGCCGAAAGGAAAAUUUGAUUGCGGAUGCAAUGAUCUUACUUUACUCAUGGGCCUGCAUAUAUUGUAUACGAAAAACUGAACGUUGUCUCUGAAAUAACGCUGAAAAAAUUUAUAAUUGUGCGCGUGGAGUUCAAGACGGUGCAGACUCUGAAAGUGACUAACCUUGUUGUCUACCGAAGUACCUGAAAGCUGUAGUGGAUCUUGUAGUGGAUACUCUUAUGACUCAAUGUCGUCUAAACAUACUAUUGACGAUGAACUAGCGCUGUUUUUAUAGUUUAGGUUUACUGAAUAAGAUUUUCUUUUUUAGCUAAGUUCUAUUCCUUUAUCAAAAAAUAAUGAAUUCUUGUACAGGAAACAAUUAUACUUCAAUUUUGUCUACAAUUAAAAUAAAAGAUGCUUUUAUUUAACAAA